Long non-coding RNA from Stegostoma tigrinum, 565 nucleotides. RefSeq lists it as uncharacterized. Lineage: Eukaryota; Metazoa; Chordata; Chondrichthyes; Orectolobiformes; Stegostomatidae. The transcript is spliced from 3 exons. The record is from RefSeq and is a predicted model, not a curated record.
CUGAGCAAGAUUGAGCAGAGUUCGAGAAGCUGGGAGGGGGUUGGGGAGGAAAUCAACUGCUGUUGCUGGACACGCUGACAGCAAAGGCGGUGGAAUCAGGGAGACAGAUGAGAAAGCCAAUUUUUCGCUUGCUUCCCCAAGGAGCAUCGGCGCUGGAGACGGGAGGAAGGAGAACAGAAGACACAGGACAUUGCAAAGGGAUAUGGGCAACGCUGGCAUUUAGUGUCCUUCCCUAAUUUCCCAAAGAGUGAAGAAUUAACCACAAUGAUAUGGAUCUGGCAUCACACGUAGUCAAGACCAGGAUGUUGAGGCUACCUUCACUGAAGAGAGCUGUUCCUGGGUUCCUGGCAUUCUCCUUUACAUACUGCCUAACAACAGACUGCCUUCGUCGAACAAAAAAAACACGGUACCUUGUUUUAGGUAGACAGUCCUUUAUCAGCGACUGCAUUGCAUAUUUACCAAUGCAAUUUCACGUUAAAUAGCACUGAUUCAUGUCCUGCUAUAUCUAGCAGUCACAGGAACACCAUGCAGCUGAAUCAAGGAAUGCUAUCAUAAUAAAAGUGAU